CCUUACGAGUAGGGCUACACACGUGCUACAAUGGCGCAUACAGAGGGCUGCAAGCUAGCGAUAGUGAGCGAAUCCCAAAAAGUGCGUCGUAGUCCGGAUUGGAGUCUGCAACUCGACUCCAUGAAGUCGGAAUCGCUAGUAAUCGUAGAUCAGAAUGCUACGGUGAAUACGUUCCCGGGCCUUGUACACACCGCCCGUCACACCAUGGGAGUGGGCUGCAAAAGAAGUGGGUAGUUUAACCUUCGGGAGGACGCUCACCACUUUGUGGUUCAUGACUGGGGUGAAGUCGUAACAAGGUAGCCCUAGGGGAACCUGGGGCUGGAUCACCUCCUUA
RNAcentral lists this ribosomal RNA (334 nucleotides) under Aliivibrio fischeri SR5. RNAcentral's name for it is "bacterial SSU rRNA". It matches the Rfam family "Bacterial small subunit ribosomal RNA", at positions 1200 to 1533 of the family's 1533-position model. The record is from RNAcentral. Lineage: Bacteria; Pseudomonadati; Pseudomonadota; Gammaproteobacteria; Vibrionales; Vibrionaceae.